CACGCCGUAAACUAUGAUUACUAGCUGUUUGCGAUAUAUUGUAAGCGGCACAGCGAAAGCGUUAAGUAAUCCACCUGGGGAGUACGCCGGCAACGGUGAAACUCAAAGGAAUUGACGGGGGCCCGCACAAGCGGAGGAACAUGUGGUUUAAUUCGAUGAUACGCGAGGAACCUUACCCGGGCUCGAACGGCUGAUUGAUACGGAUGAAAGUUUGUAGCUAGCAAUAGGAUCAGUCGAGGUGC
This 242-nucleotide ribosomal RNA is filed under the name uncultured Porphyromonadaceae bacterium. Its description in RNAcentral is "partial 16S ribosomal RNA". It matches the Rfam family "Bacterial small subunit ribosomal RNA", at positions 796 to 1041 of the family's 1533-position model. The record is from RNAcentral. Lineage: Bacteria; Pseudomonadati; Bacteroidota; Bacteroidia; Bacteroidales; Porphyromonadaceae.